CUUCAGCACAGCACGACCAGGACACAGUGCUCCCUCCCCAAAGACAAACAGGCGAGCAGCAAACACACACGCUCGAACCGAGACAAGCCAAUCUAAUAAUGGGGAGGGCUCCGUGCUGCGAGAAGAUGGGGCUGAAGAAGGGGCCAUGGACGCCCGAGGAGGACAAGGUCCUGGUCGCCCAUAUCCAGAGCUUCGGCCACAGCAACUGGCGCGCGCUGCCCAAGCAAGCCGGGCUGCUGCGGUGCGGCAAGAGCUGCCGGCUCCGGUGGAUCAACUACCUGCGCCCGGACAUCAAGCGCGGCAACUUCAGCAAGGAGGAGGAGGACGCCAUCAUCAGCCUCCACGAGCAGCUCGGCAACAGGUGGUCCGCCAUCGCCGCCAGGCUGCCCGGGCGGACGGACAACGAGAUCAAGAACGUCUGGCACACGCACCUCAAGAAGCGCCUGGAUCCCACCAAGCAGGAGCAGCAGCAGCAGCACGGGACGACGCCGGCGGCUGGCGCCGGCAAGAAGCACAGGCCCGCGGCGGCGGCGAAGCGCGGGGGCGGCGGAGCCAGGAAGGCGACGGCCAACGCCGACGCCGUCGUCGUCCCGGCCCCGGCCCCGGCCACCGCUGCGCCGGCGUCUCCCGAACGGUCGGCGGCCUCGUCGUCGGUGACCGAGUCGUCCAUGACGGAGCAGGAGCAGGAGCACGGCAACACGGGGAGCUCGCCCGCGUUCCCCAAGGAGGAGAGCCUCACCACCUCCUCCUCGGACGCCGAGGAGUUCCAGUUCGACGACAGCUUCUGGUCCGAGACGCUGUCGAUGCCGCUGGACAGCCUCGACGACGUCGUCCCCAUGGAGCCCUCCGACGACGACGCGUUCGGCGACGUCGACGUGGCUGCCGCCUCCUCCUCGUCCGUCGGCGCCGACGGCGACCUGGACUACUGGCUCAGAGUGUUCAUGGAGUCCGGCGACGCGCACCCAGAACUGCCGCAGAUUUAGACCGCUCGCGCGAGAAUUUUCGGCUCCUAAUUGAUUCAUCGUUCUUUUGUCUCUAUCUCUCUCUGCACGUCUUGCAUCGGAGGGGACGGACAAGGACAGCAGCAGCUGAUUAACAGAGAAGGAAAUCAGGCAGAAACAACGCGACACGCCGUUGCAACUUGGAUCGAUCUUGUUUGCCUUCUUGUUGUAUAGAUACUAGAAUCCAUCCAAGCCUAUGCGUUCUGAGAACAGAAGCACGCUGUGCUGUGCAUGCAGAUUCCCAUGUAUGUACAGUAGCCACGGCCGCCGCCAGAACAGAAAUGGAUCCGGCCUCUUCCAAAUUCCAAUUCGUUGAGUUAAUUCAUCUAGCUCGUGCUACUCGUGUUUCGGUCGGUUACGAAAUCACGUCAUGGCGAUGCUG
This 1383-nucleotide unclassified non-coding RNA is filed under the name Zea mays. RNAcentral's name for it is "misc RNA Zm00001eb077690". Lineage: Eukaryota; Viridiplantae; Streptophyta; Magnoliopsida; Poales; Poaceae. The record is from RNAcentral.